Molecule: ribosomal RNA, 253 nt
Filed under: uncultured bacterium
Lineage: Bacteria
Description: partial 16S ribosomal RNA
Rfam family: Bacterial small subunit ribosomal RNA
Source: RNAcentral
UACAGAGGGGGCAAGCGUUGUUCGGAAUUACUGGGCGUAAAGGGCGCGUAGGCGGCCUUCUAAGUCGAACGUGAAAUCCCCGGGCUCAACCCGGGAACUGCGUCCGAUACUGGAAGGCUUGAAUCCGGGAGAGGGAUGUGGAAUUCCAGGUGUAGCGGCGAAAUGCGUAGAUAUCUGGAGGAACACCGGUGGCGAAGGCGACAUCCUGGACCGGUAUUGACGCUGAGGCGCGAAAGCCAGGGGAGCAGACGGG